RNAcentral lists this RNase P RNA (379 nucleotides) under bovine gut metagenome. RNAcentral's name for it is "Bacterial RNase P class A". It matches the Rfam family "Bacterial RNase P class A". From Rfam's summary of the family: Ribonuclease P (RNase P) is a ubiquitous endoribonuclease, found in archaea, bacteria and eukarya as well as chloroplasts and mitochondria. Its best characterised activity is the generation of mature 5'-ends of tRNAs by cleaving the 5'-leader elements of precursor-tRNAs. The record is from RNAcentral.
CAGCCGGAUAAUCGCGCGGGGUAAAUUAAUACCUUGUGAGGAAAGUCCGUGCAUCCAAGGACAGACUGCCGGAGAAACUCCGGACGGCGUAAGCCGGUGGAUCGGACCACAGAAAGGGGUCGGGGGUAAAUAUACCUCUAACCCAAAAGACUGCCGAUGGAUUUUAUAUCACAGGCGAUGGUGCAAAGGUGAGGCAAGAGCUCACCGGAUAUACUGAGAAGUAUAUGCCAGGCAACCCCCAGUCGGAUGCAAGAUUGAAACAAGCGUUUGAGGUGUCCGCCGAGCUUGAAAAAUCGCUAGAGAUUAGGAGUAAUCCUAAUACCAGACAGAUGAUUAUCAGGGAGUUUUCCUGAACAGAACACGGCUUAUGAGCUGCUUU